This is a non-coding RNA of Acanthosepion pharaonis, 82 nucleotides long. Lineage: Eukaryota; Metazoa; Mollusca; Cephalopoda; Sepiida; Sepiidae. The record is from the annotation of a GenBank genome assembly.
CAUAUGAUCACCGAAGUUAAGCAACGUCGAGCCUCGUCAGUACCUAGAUGGGUGACCGCUUGAGAAUAUCAGGUGCUGUAAG